RNAcentral lists this long non-coding RNA (874 nucleotides) under Capsella grandiflora. Its description in RNAcentral is "long non-coding RNA (CGRA_LNC000758)". The record is from RNAcentral. Lineage: Eukaryota; Viridiplantae; Streptophyta; Magnoliopsida; Brassicales; Brassicaceae.
UGUGAAGAUGAUAUCUUGUUGAAGACAAUUUCUGUUCUUGUUUGAUGCGUCUUGGUGAAGAUGCUUGUUGAGGUGGAGAAACAAGAAGGAGAAGCCAAGGUUAGAAGACCGAAGUAGAGGUGAAGAAUCAAACAAACCAAGUCCGAAAAAAGCGGAGGUUGAUGAUUCAAGAGCUUCGUAAGCUAAGGUUAAAAACCUAAGUGAAGAUUCAAAGAGCCCAAAUAUCCAAAGCUAAAGCCAAAGUGAUGAUUCAAUGAACUAGAGGGCACAAACUGAAGAUGGAAAAGAAGAAGAAGCUCACCUAAAGAAAAAGGGAGCAGCCGAGCAAGAGACGUGACUGUGGUCACGGAAAAGACGUGGCAGAGCUCAUGGAGAAGACUAUAGCAAAGAAAAUCGCACAAAAAUGGGGGAUAAACUAAAUUCCAGAAGAUUCAGAUUAAGAGAGAGAAGGAGAAGAGAAGGAAGUGGUGGUGGUUCGAUUGACCGAAUGGGGCGUGAAGCCUCAGUUUAGUCGAAGAGAAAAGCUUGAAUGAAGUCUCAGAUGAGUUGGUGGUGAAUAAAGAGAUGCUCGUCACUCGUCAGAUAUGAGGGCUGGGAGUUAAUACCGGUUAUGAUGUGGCAGUUGAAGACGGCGGUGAAUCCCUUUAAUAAAGAAUUAAUUAAAUUCGGGGUGAGAAGUCAGAAAAAAACAGAGUAUGGGGUGGUGGAGAAUAUUAUAAAAUUGAUAGUUUGUAUGAUAAUCUUACAGAAUUUGGUAUUUAAUGCAAUUAUGAAAUUUUAUACUUGGAUUUCACAAGAACCAUACUUUUUUCCCUCUACUUUGUUUCCGAGUGUAAUUUUAAACUCACCACUGCAGAACCAUGGUGUAAAACCA